GAUGAGGAACGUAGUGAAAUGCGAUAAGUAAUGUGAAUUGCAGAAUUCAGUGAAUCAUCGAAUCUUUGAACGCACAUUGCGCCCGUCAGUAUUCUGGCGGGCAUGCCUGUUCGAGCGUCAUUACGCCCCUCAAGUCCCCUGUGGACUUGGUGUUGGGGAUCGGCGAGGCUGGUUUUCCAGCACAGCCGUCCCUUAAAUUAAUUGGCGGUCUCGCCGUGGCCCUCCUCUGCGCAGUAGUAAAACACUCGCAACAGGAGCCCGGCGCGGUCCACUGCCGUAAAACCCCCCAACUUUUUAUAGUUGACCUCGAAUCAGGUAGGACUACCCGCUGAACUUAAGCAUAUCAAUAAGCGGAGGA
RNAcentral lists this unclassified non-coding RNA (358 nucleotides) under soil metagenome. RNAcentral's name for it is "partial contains 5.8S ribosomal RNA, internal transcribed spacer 2, and large subunit ribosomal RNA". The stretch from base 1 to 120 matches the Rfam family "5.8S ribosomal RNA", at positions 35 to 154 of the family's 154-position model. The record is from RNAcentral.